CGGGGCUCGGGCGCACGCCGCGCGCGUCGGCCAGCGCCCUGAGCGGGUCGACGCGACCCUCGGCGCCGCCCUUGUUCAUCAUCAUGAGGUUCAUCGACAGAUCCAUGGUCGCGCCUCUGUUGCCGCAGCGGUGAAAGCAAGAGACGACGCCGGCAGAGAGGCAAAUCGAGAUGCGGGUCGGAGGACCUGCCGCCGAAAAAGGGAGAGACAGAAAAAAAGGGACCCGGAGCCUGGCCCUUUCCUCGCUGCGGUCCGCCUUUUUUUUUGGUGUGCUCGAUGCCGCCUGGUGUUCUCUCUUCCGGUGGCAACGGGCAGGGGCGCGCUCAGACUUUUGUGCGAUCCCGACCUGUGUGGGGCUCUCUCUCUCUUUUGGUUUUUCGGCCUCCUCCGUGUUCUCUUGUGCCUCUGUCGGGUCGUGCACACUCGGGACGGGCCAGAAAAGAGCCCCAGCGCCUUUUUCUUGUGCCGGCCCGCACAUCACCUCCCCCCGUUUCCGCCGCGUCGACAAAAAGGCGUGCGCGCGCACAGAGAGCACACGCCCGCGCGCGUCGUCCUUUGUCAUCUUUUUUUUCGGCAUCCCCAGCACGGGGACAAAAAAUACAGAUCGAGGGCGCCGUUGCAGACCAAUGGCGCAUCGCCAGACUCGCGACAACCCCCAAGACCGAAAUGAAAACCAUGAAAAAGAAAAUAAAAAACCGCGCAAUAGCGGCGGGUCCCCUGCGCGCCACUUCACCCG
This 736-nucleotide long non-coding RNA is filed under the name Pandoravirus dulcis. Its description in RNAcentral is "putative ncRNA". The record is from RNAcentral.